Platichthys flesus (European flounder) is the source of this 1837-nucleotide long non-coding RNA. RefSeq lists it as uncharacterized. NCBI's taxonomy places the organism in Eukaryota, Metazoa, Chordata, Actinopteri, Pleuronectiformes, Pleuronectidae. The record is from RefSeq and is a predicted model, not a curated record. The transcript is spliced from 3 exons.
AUUUCCUGCCGCCUCACGCACAGCCAAUCACGGCGUGCGUUUCAGGCAGGGCCCAGCCUCGUGGACCGGCAGGCUACUCGCGAUUGGUCCGCGGGAGAGUCGGUAACACGAGCGGGAUUCGGGCGCCACGUUGCAGGCUGACGCUCAAACUCGUCCCCGCUGUGAGUGAGUGGACUCAGCGUGGGUCAGCGUGGAAACAAGAAGUCCAGGGAGCAUCUCCACGACCUGCGACAAGCGGCCUCCGUGGCACCAUCAUGUCCCCCCCCCCUUGUCUGAGUAUGUCCAGGUCCCACAACCAGGAUACCCUUAUAAUAUCUUCAUGGUGUCACAGUGAGGCCUGCACCCUGUGAUGGCUGUGUGUAGUGUGGAGCUGGCAGCAACACUCGAAAAUAUUCUCCACCGACUCGCUUCUCCGCUCCUCCAUCCAGGCGACGGGGUGGUGGAGCCGUUUUGGCUGCAGAAGGAGUUUCUCCCCCUGGGCUGCGGCGUGGCUCCUGUCCCCUUCUCUCCCUGCAGCUGGAGCUAGCAGAGCCAGAUGCUACGUAGCUGCACCACCCUCUGUCCCCCCUGUUUCUCUUCCAGGAGGAUGGUGCCCAGAGAGGAGGAUGACAAACGCCUCUGCCUCCGCUUACUGACGGAUUUGGACGACCUGACUCCAGCCCUGCACUGUUCCAACCGCCAGCACAAGAUGUUGACUUAAUGGAAGGGGGUUGGCUGUGGAAGGGCCCAUAUGCGUUUGUAUUGGGGAAAUAUGGCAGGGUGGUGUGUCUGUGUAUGUCUGUGUAUUCAUCGGGCUGGUGUGUGUGUGUGUGUUUGUGCGCGUCUGUGUGUGUGUGUGUGCGUCUUUUCACCUAGCCCAGACUGCCGACAUCCAUCAUGCCAUGGCGCUCUGGCAGAGAGUGGGACUCAGACAGCCUCACUAACACACGGUCAGUUAAAUUGCCUGUUAAAUUGUCCUGGUCCGUGGCUAUCUUAGGUUUAGAUAAAAACACUGCACUUAAAGGCUGCACUUAAAGGCAGAAAUUGUCAAGUAAAUGCCAGCCUCCCUCCAUGCAUAGAGGGAGAAAGGGAGAGACAGAGCUCCACUGAGGGAAACACAUUUCCAUUACAAGACAAAAUACUGCAGCGAACAGGAAGCUACGUGUGUGUGUGUGUGUGUGUGUGUACAGAUGCCAAAGAGUUGUUGCUCAAGGUAAUUAUCAAGGAUCAUAUUAUUAAGAUAUCAGACUUAGGGUUUAUUGCCAAUUGGGUUUACACAUACCAGGAAUUUGUUGUGGUGUGUUUUGUGCAUAUAAUCAAAGAAGCUCAAAUAUUGGCCUUAAGCGCUGCAGAUCCACUUGAUCAAUACGCUAAUUCAUGCAUGGUCUUCAUCAACCUGCCCCGUUCUCCCUUAAUGAUUAAAACAGCGGUCUCAACCCAACACGUUUGACAUUUCUUUCCAUGCAACCAAAUGGAAAAUUGAGUCUCAUUCUUUUAACAUUACCAGGAUAUUAAGGAUAAUUGUCCUUCUUGCGUCCCUGGACCAAAGAGCUUGAGCUGCUCCACUGAUAGCAGCGAUGUAAAGGACAAAGUGGGUUAGUUACAGACGCUCUGGUCAGUGACACCUUCACAAAAACAUCUUUCAAUCUAAAUAUUGUAUUUUUUAAGAUUUUAAAAAACAGCUUUAUAACUUGCUGCACUCUCCUCGACAUCUUUGACUUGAAACUCAUGGGUCUGCUGUGAACUCAUCAAAAUAAAUCUUCGUGCCUUGAAAUCUGUCGCCUGUUUUGCUUUGGUUCCUUGUCUGGACUCGGAACACAAAACAGCGACCUUUGUUUUUAUUCCAAUUCAUUUUUAA